GGCUUAGCUCAGGAGUUAGAGCAUCGCAUUUGUAAUGUGAUGGUCCUCAGUUCGAUUCCGAUAGCC
RNAcentral lists this transfer RNA (66 nucleotides) under Cucumis sativus (cucumber). It matches the Rfam family "tRNA". Rfam says of the family: Transfer RNA (tRNA) molecules are approximately 80 nucleotides in length. Their secondary structure includes four short double-helical elements and three loops (D, anti-codon, and T loops). Lineage: Eukaryota; Viridiplantae; Streptophyta; Magnoliopsida; Cucurbitales; Cucurbitaceae. The record is from Rfam by way of RNAcentral.